RNAcentral lists this unclassified non-coding RNA (173 nucleotides) under uncultured Hyalopeziza. RNAcentral's name for it is "sequence contains ITS1". Lineage: Eukaryota; Fungi; Ascomycota; Leotiomycetes; Helotiales; Hyaloscyphaceae. The record is from RNAcentral.
AUAAUAGCGGGUCCUCUCGAAUUAUAGGAUGUCUGAACCCUUGAAUACAUAACUUUGUUGCUUUGGCGGGCCGCCUUCAGGCGUCGGCCUCGGCUGACAGCGCCCGCCGGGGGACCCAAACUCUUGUAUUUCUUACUUUGCAUGUCUGAGUGGAAUCAUAAACAAAUGAAUCA